This 356-nucleotide ribosomal RNA is filed under the name Cambarellus sp. Pop27. RNAcentral describes it as "partial 12S ribosomal RNA". Lineage: Eukaryota; Metazoa; Arthropoda; Malacostraca; Decapoda; Cambaridae. The record is from RNAcentral.
UACUAGAAUAUUAAAAGUUAUGGCCUUUAAAUUUAAAAAAUUUGGCGGUGUUUUAGUCUAGUUAGAGGAACCUGUUUUAUAAAUGAUACAACACGCAUUAUUUUACUUAUUUUAGUAGAGCAGUUUGUAUACCGUCAUUAUAAGAUAAUUUAGGAGAAAAUAUUAUUGAAAUCAUAUUUGUGAGUAUAUUAGAUCAAGGUGCAGCUUAUGGAUAAGUAAAUAUGGGUUACAAUAAAAUUAAUUUAAUAUGAAUUAAGUAUUUAAAUAUAUUUAUGAAGGAGGAUUUAAUUGUAAGGGAAGGAGUAGUGAGAUUUUCUGAUAAAAGCUCUAAAUUAUGUACAUAUCGCCCGUCGCUC